Molecule: long non-coding RNA, 1281 nt
Filed under: Aotus nancymaae (Ma's night monkey)
Lineage: Eukaryota; Metazoa; Chordata; Mammalia; Primates; Aotidae
Description: lncRNA (ENSANAG00000039397.1)
Source: RNAcentral
UGCGCCCCGCGCGCAGCGCUGCUUCUGCCCGGGCCAAGGACGCCCGGGCCAGCCGGCGGGACCAGAGGGAAGCCGAGUGACCGAUGAGGCCUGGGCUGUGUAUCCCACAGGGGCACUUGUCAUCCCUACCUAGAGGCCAAACCGUUUAAUUAGGCCUAAAUAAAAAAGCCAUGUGAAGCCCGAAGAUACUGCAUAUAUGAGAUUUGUCAAGCCAUUCUUCCCACCACCAAUGCCUGAACACGACCUCAUUUAUCUUGAUCAAUGAAGCUCAAGGAAGCAUUGCACUUUGGCUUCUGCUUUAAUGAUAUUCAGAGUCAACAGGAAAUUAAUCAGCAAGUAGAAAAUUGAAAGAAGAUCUGCAUCUCGCUGCAGGAGUCAUUAAAAUAAAAGCAGAUUUGGCAAAAUGGCAAGCAGCAACAAAUACUGCGUAUGUACGGAGUGCACCAGGCACGAUGCUAAUGUGCUCGGCAUACGUUAUCUUUUUGGUUCUACAACAACCCAGUGGAGGAAGACUUCUCAAACACAAUUUAAGGAUGAGGAAAUGAAGGCACAGAGCAAUUAUUCAACUUGUCUAAGGCCACACGGCUACUAAGAAUCAUUGCCAGAAUGUAUCUCCAAUUUUAUUUGUCUCCGUUGCCAAGGUUUUGACCGCCAUGUGACGACGACGCCUUUCCUCUUUUCAUGGAUAUCCGGAGAGCACCUUGGACAGCCACCUAAGUCUUAUGACCACCCCUCCCAGUUUUGGAUCAUCAGAGCUGUUGUCAGAAUGUCUUCACGGGGGUCUCCCAACCUUCUAUUUUUCCUUUGAAGUUGGAAAAUCUACCUCCAGAUGUUGAAAGCUCAUAUCUAACUGAGCUAAUGAGAGUCCUCCAUUUUCCAAAAAGCUUAAGCUGCCACUUGCUUUUAGUUGCUAUUUUCUUAACUAACUAGUUUGUCCUGAUGGAUCAAAAUUAAGGGCUUUUGAUAAGGAGAACAGUUAUUCUAUUUUUUUUCAAACUUCUGGGAGAUGAAGCCACAUGAAGAAUUUAUUGUAUUGUUGUUCUUUGCUGACCUUACCCUGAUUUUACCACAUAAUAAAGUGCUUUGAGUUCUGCAUUCUACUGGUUACUUUGGGUUUUGUUUGUUUGUUCGUUGUUAACCACAACUGAACUUUAAGUCUGGGAAUAGUUUCCAAGUUUCUGGAAAUAGUAAGUGGCUCCCCUGUCCUUCUGAUGUUGCUAUAGAUCAGUUUUGAAGAGAAAUCCAACCUCAAAACCUUCUUUGAUUCCUCUAUCUCACUUG